Molecule: long non-coding RNA, 892 nt
Filed under: Cucumis sativus (cucumber)
Lineage: Eukaryota; Viridiplantae; Streptophyta; Magnoliopsida; Cucurbitales; Cucurbitaceae
Description: long non-coding RNA (CSAT_LNC000067)
Source: RNAcentral
UCAAACCCACUAAUGCUUGCUCGUGCGAAUGGCUUCCACCGACCCACCAUGGCUCCAUAGACCCCAAAUGGCUGCUGCCCUCUUCAUCGAUUGGUGCUGGGAGAUUCAGAUCCAGGUAGUCUCUUAUUUCUGCCUCUGGUUUCUGAUUCGAUUUGGUUUCUGGCAAUUUGUUUCUGGAUUCUGACCCAUUUAUUAAAUGGGACCUUUUAUGGCCGCCCAAAGCUUGGCCUGAACUAAAAAUCUUGAAGCAAAUUGAGCAUUGAUGAUGCUUUCUGAUCUUUUUCUCAUAACCCAUGUGAAUUUCUGAUUCCUGGUGAUUUUCCACCUCUAAUGCUGUGGCUGUGGACUUACUUUCAAAUGUUGGGUCGUUUGAAAUCUCCGUUUCGAUGCUAUUUUCACUGUUUUCUGUCUUUGAAGCUAAGCAUCCUUUGGUUUUCUUGUGACUGGCUCUAUGCCCACCAAGUGCUUGAUAUGAGUGAAAGAUCUUGUUGCAAGAAUUACACUGGAAUUUGCUUCUCUUUCCUUUGCUUUUGUAUGAUUCUGAGUUUAGUUCAUUGGGUGUUGAUCUUCUGAAGGAAUUUGACCUCAAUUCCCCAUUUGAAAGCUCAUGGAACUUUCUCUGAUCUGAAUUGAACUUACUGGAAUUGAAUUGAGGUUGGUUAAUGUCAGUUUGGUUGUUGGAACUUGAUCCAAAUAUGUCAUCUUGCUGAAACUUCUCUUCGUUCUUGUUCAUCUUGACAGCAGAAGCACUGAUUUCUGAGUUUGACUCUUCAAAUUUGAGACACCCAGAAUCCAUCUCACUGAGCUUCAACUUUCUGCUGUGGAAGUCUUUCAAUUGCCCCAUGUAUACAGAAGGAAUAGCUUCAACAACUUUGGAGAAAUGAUUUUUUGG